Molecule: transfer RNA, 52 nt
Filed under: Lorentziella imbricata
Lineage: Eukaryota; Viridiplantae; Streptophyta; Bryopsida; Gigaspermales; Gigaspermaceae
Description: partial tRNA-Leu
Source: RNAcentral
CUAAAAACCGUUGGCUUUAUUGACCGUGAGGGUUCAAGUCCCUCUACCCCCA